AGAAUCAACGCUGGCGGCGUGCCUAACACAUGCAAGUCGAACGAGAAAGUGGAGCAAUCCAUGAGUACAGUGGCGACCGGGUGAGUAACACGUGACUACCUACCCUUGAGUGGGGGAUAACCUCGGGAAACCGAGGCUAAUACCGCAUAAUAUCGAGAGAUCAAAGGAGUAAUCCGCUUUUGGAGGGGGUCGCGGCUGAUUAGCUAGUUGGUAGGGUAAUGGCCUACAAAGGCGAAGAUCGGUAUCCGGCCUGAGAGGGCGCACGGACACACUGGAACUGAAACACGGUCCAGACUCCUACGGGAGGCAGCAGUGGGAAUUUUGCGCAAUGGGGGAAACCCUGACGCAGCAACGCCGCGUGGAGGAUGAAGCCCCUUGGGGUGUAAACUCCUUUCGACCGGGAAAAUAAUGAUGGUACCGGUGGAAGAAGCACCGGCUAACUCUGUGCCAGCAGCCGC
Molecule: ribosomal RNA, 458 nt
Filed under: uncultured bacterium
Lineage: Bacteria
Description: SSU rRNA
Rfam family: Bacterial small subunit ribosomal RNA
Source: RNAcentral